This 835-nucleotide ribosomal RNA is filed under the name Diaporthe sp. RNAcentral describes it as "eukaryotic LSU rRNA". It matches the Rfam family "Eukaryotic large subunit ribosomal RNA", at positions 74 to 941 of the family's 3401-position model. Lineage: Eukaryota; Fungi; Ascomycota; Sordariomycetes; Diaporthales; Diaporthaceae. The record is from RNAcentral.
AUUGCCCUAGUAACGGCGAGUGAAGCGGCAACAGCUCAAAUUUGAAAUCUGGCCUCGGCCCGAGUUGUAAUUUGCAGAGGAUGCUUCUGGCGCGGUGCCUUCCGAGUUCCCUGGAACGGGACGCCACAGAGGGUGAGAGCCCCGUAUGGUCGGACACCAAGCCUGUGUGAAGCUCCUUCGACGAGUCGAGUAGUUUGGGAAUGCUGCUCUAAAUGGGAGGUAAAUCUCUUCUAAAGCUAAAUACCGGCCAGAGACCGAUAGCGCACAAGUAGAGUGAUCGAAAGAUGAAAAGCACCUUGAAAAGGGGGUUAAAUAGUACGUGAAAUUGUUGAAAGGGAAGCACUUAUGACCAGACUUGGGCCGGGCGGCUCAUCAGGGGUUCUCCCCUGUGCACUCCGCCCGGCACAGGCCAGCAUCGGUUCUCGUGGGGGGAUAAGACCGUCGGGAACGUAGCACCCUCCGGGGUGUGUUAUAGCCCGGCGGACGAUACCCUCGUGGGGACCGAGGUUCGCGCUCCGCAAGGAUGCUGGCGUAAUGGUCAUCAGUGACCCGUCUUGAAACACGGACCAAGGAGUCGUCCAUUAGAGCGAGCGUUUGGGUGUAAAACCCGCACGCGUAAUGAAAGUGAACGCAGGUGAGAGCUUCGGCGCAUCAUCGACCGAUCCUGAUGUUCUCGGAAGGAUUUGAGUAAGAGUUUUAACGGACGGACCCGAAAGACAGUGAACUAUGCUUGUAUAGGGUGAAGCCAGAGGAAACUCUGGUGGAGGCUCGCAGCGGUUCUGACGUGCAAAUCGAUCGUCAAAUAUGAGCAUGGGGGCGAAAGACUAAUCGAACU